Molecule: long non-coding RNA, 580 nt
Filed under: Homo sapiens (human)
Lineage: Eukaryota; Metazoa; Chordata; Mammalia; Primates; Hominidae
Description: non-protein coding lnc-PDE4D-7:3
Source: RNAcentral
AUAACUGUUUUGACAGAUUCUCUUUUUUCCUUCUCCUCUUCUUAGUCAAUGGCUCAUAUUUUGAAAGCAAGAAAGGUGUUGACAGAGCCAGAAGUUCGAUACUACCUCAGGCAGAUUGUGUCUGGACUGAAAUACCUUCAUGAACAAGAAAUCUUGCACAGAGAUCUCAAACUAGGUAAGUCAUUGACGCCAAAAGCUGAGUUUUGUGUUAGAGUUCUUUUUUCUCUCUCUGUUUUUUUUUACAUAUUAAUGUUCUUAAUUGGGAUCUCGUGUCUGCAAUCUUGCUUUUGAAUGGGCGACUUUCAUAUAACAAUUGGCUGCCUGGCUCCAAAGUGGAUGUGUGUGUACUUGGUUAGAACGCAUUUUCAAAGGGAUUCACAUUUUGUUUUGUUUAUCGUCUAGGGAACUUUUUUAUUAAUGAAGCCAUGGAACUAAAAGUUGGGGACUUCGGUCUGGCAGCCAGGCUAGAACCCUUGGAACACAGAAGGAGAACGAUAUGUGGUACCCCAAAUUAUCUCUCUCCUGAAGUCCUCAACAAACAAGGACAUGGCUGUGAAUCAGACAUUUGGGCCCUGGGCUG